UACGUAGGGUGCAAGCGUUGUCCGGAAUUAUUGGGCGUAAAGAGCUCGUAGGCGGUCUGUCGCGUCGGCUGUGAAAUCCCGAGGCUCAACCUCGGGUCUGCAGUCGAUACGGGCAAACUGGAGUGUUGCAGGGGAGACUGGAAUUCCUGGUGUAGCGGUGAAAUGCGCAGAUAUCAGGAGGAACACCGGUGGCGAAGGCGGGUCUCUGGGCAACAACUGACGCUGAGGAGCGAAAGCGUGGGGAGCGAACAGG
This 253-nucleotide ribosomal RNA is filed under the name uncultured bacterium. Its description in RNAcentral is "partial 16S ribosomal RNA". It matches the Rfam family "Bacterial small subunit ribosomal RNA", at positions 524 to 776 of the family's 1533-position model. The record is from RNAcentral. RNAcentral also lists the same sequence under 1 other name.